CCAAGGUGUCUUUCUGUUGUUCACUCAGUUGGCUGACUGAAACCUCUAAAAUGAGUUCAACCAGGCUUUGUUUCCUUGGAUCUCUGCACUGCAUAUGGAC
This is a long non-coding RNA of Nanorana parkeri, 100 nucleotides long. RefSeq lists it as uncharacterized. NCBI's taxonomy places the organism in Eukaryota, Metazoa, Chordata, Amphibia, Anura, Dicroglossidae. The record is from RefSeq and is a predicted model, not a curated record. The transcript has 3 exons.